GUACAUAUAGUUUACAAAAACAUCAGACUGUGAAUCUAAAGACAGGGGAUAACACUCCUUAUCUAUC
RNAcentral lists this transfer RNA (67 nucleotides) under Mesocricetus auratus (golden hamster). It matches the Rfam family "tRNA". From Rfam's summary of the family: Transfer RNA (tRNA) molecules are approximately 80 nucleotides in length. Their secondary structure includes four short double-helical elements and three loops (D, anti-codon, and T loops). Further hydrogen bonds mediate the characteristic L-shaped molecular structure. tRNAs have two regions of fundamental functional importance: the anti-codon, which is responsible for specific mRNA codon recognition, and the 3' end, to which the tRNAs corresponding amino acid is attached (by aminoacyl-tRNA synthetases). tRNAs cope with the degeneracy of the genetic code in two manners: having more than one tRNA (with a specific anti-codon) for a particular amino acid; and 'wobble' base-pairing, i.e. permitting non-standard base-pairing at the 3rd anti-codon position. Lineage: Eukaryota; Metazoa; Chordata; Mammalia; Rodentia; Cricetidae. The record is from Rfam by way of RNAcentral.